UACGUAGGGGGCAAGCGUUGUCCGGAUUCACUGGGCGUAAAGAGCUUGUAGGCGGCCAGGUAGGUCGGUUGUGAAAACUGGAGGCUCAACCUUCAGAGGUCGACCGAAACCAUCUGGCUAGAGUUCGGGAGAGGAGAGUGGAAUUCCUGGUGUAGCGGUGAAAUGCGCAGAUAUCAGGAAGAACACCCGUGGCGAAAGCGGCUCUCUGGAACGGUACUGACGCUGAGACGCGAAAGCGUGGGGAGCGAACAGG
RNAcentral lists this ribosomal RNA (253 nucleotides) under uncultured bacterium. RNAcentral describes it as "partial 16S ribosomal RNA". It matches the Rfam family "Bacterial small subunit ribosomal RNA", at positions 524 to 776 of the family's 1533-position model. The record is from RNAcentral.